This 433-nucleotide ribosomal RNA is filed under the name uncultured bacterium. Its description in RNAcentral is "partial 16S ribosomal RNA". It matches the Rfam family "Bacterial small subunit ribosomal RNA", at positions 29 to 507 of the family's 1533-position model. The record is from RNAcentral.
AACGAACGCUGGCGGCAUGCCUAACACAUGCAAGUCGAACGAGACCUUCGGGUCUAGUGGCGCACGGGUGCGUAACGCGUGGGAACCUGCCCUUAGGUUCGGAAUAACUCCCCGAAAGGGGUGCUAAUACCGGAUAAUGUCUUCGGACCAAAGAUUUAUCGCCUUUGGAUGGGCCCGCGUUGGAUUAGCUAGUUGGUAGGGUAAAAGCCUACCUAGGCGACGAUCCAUAGCUGGUCUGAGAGGAUGAUCAGCCACACUGGGACUGAGACACGGCCCAGACUCCUACGGGAGGCAGCAGUGGGGAAUAUUGGACAAUGGGCGAAAGCCUGAUCCAGCAAUGCCGCGUGAGUGAUGAAGGCCUUAGGGUUGUAAAGCUCUUUUACCCGGGAUGAUAAUGACAGUACCGGGAGAAUAAGCUCCGGCUAACUCCGUG